RNAcentral lists this ribosomal RNA (1475 nucleotides) under uncultured Bordetella sp. RNAcentral's name for it is "partial 16S-23S ribosomal RNA intergenic spacer". It matches the Rfam family "Bacterial small subunit ribosomal RNA". Lineage: Bacteria; Pseudomonadati; Pseudomonadota; Betaproteobacteria; Burkholderiales; Alcaligenaceae. The record is from RNAcentral.
UUCGAUCAUGGCUCAGAUUGAACGCUGGCGGGAUGCUUUACACAUGCAAGUCAGGAACGGCAGCACGGACUUCGGUCUGGUGGCGAGUGGCGAACGGGUGAGUAAUGUAUCGGAACGUGCCUAGUAGCGGGGGAUAACUACGCGGCGUCAACUAGCCUGCAUACAGCGUACUAGGAAAGCGAGGGGGACCUUCAGACCUCGCACUAUUAGAGCGGCCGAUAUCGGAUUAGCUAGUUGGUGGUGGGGUAACGGCUCACCAAGGCGACGAUCCGUAGCUGGUUUGAGAGGACGACCAGCCACUGGGACUGAGACACGGCCCAGACUCCUACCGAGCAGCAGUGGGGAAUUUGCGGAUAAUGGAAGCCCUGAUCCAGCCAUCCCGCGUGUGCGAUGAAGGCCUUCGGGUUGUAAAAACACUUUUGGCAGGAAAGAAACGGCACGGGAUAAUACCCCGUGCAACUGACGGUACCUGCAGAAUAAGCACCGGCUAACUACGUGCCAGCAGCCGCGGUAAUACGUAGGGUGCAAGCGUUAAUCGGAAUUACUGGGCGUAAAGCGUGCGCAGGCGGUUCGGAAAGAAAGAUGUGAAAUCCCAGAGCUUAACUUUGGAACUGCAUUUUUAACUACCGAGCUAGAGUGUGUCAGAGGGGAGGUGGAAUUCCGCGUGUAGCAGUGAAAUGCGUAGAUAUGCGGAGGAACACCGAUGGCGAAGGCAGCCUCCUGGGAUAACACUGACGCUCAUGCACGAAAAGCGUGGGGAGCAAACAGGAUUAGAUACCCUGGUAGUCCGCCUAAACGAUGUCAACUAGCUGUUGGGCCUUGGGCAUGGCCAUGCGCAACUAACGCGUGAAGUUGACCGCCUGGAGCGGUCGCGGAAUUAAAACUCAAAAUUGACGGGGACCCGCACAAGCGGUGGAUGAUGUGGAUUAAUUCGAUGCAACGCGAAAAACCUUACCUACCCUUGACAUGUCUGCCGAAUCCCGAAGAGAUUUGGGAGUGCUCGCAAGAGAACCGGAACACAGGUGCUGCAUGGCUGUCGUCAAAUAUUAUGAGAUGUUGAUUUAAGUCCCGCAACGAGCGCAACCCUUGUCAUUAGUUGCUACGAAGGGCACUCUAAUGAGACUGCCGGUGACAAACGGAGAAGGGAUGGGAUUGACAAUCAAGUCCUCAUGGCCCUUAUGGGUAGGGCUUCACACGUCAUACAAUGGUCGGGACAGAGGGUCGCCAACCUUAGAGGGCCCGAUACGGCGAUCGUAGUCUGGAUCGCAGUCUGCCACACGCGUGCUCGACUGCGUUGAAGUCCGAAUCGCUUCAUGUAUCCGCGGAUCAGCAUGUCUCAAAGUGAAUACGUGGGUCUUGUACACACCGCCCGUCACACCAUGGGAGUGGGGGUUUACCAGAAGUAGUUAGCCUAACCGCUAAGGAGGGCGAUUACCACGGUAGGAUUCAUGACUGGGGUGAAGUCGUAACAAAGU